Non-coding RNA from Rhypophila decipiens, 140 nucleotides. NCBI's taxonomy places the organism in Eukaryota, Fungi, Ascomycota, Sordariomycetes, Sordariales, Naviculisporaceae. The record is from the annotation of a GenBank genome assembly.
GUCCCUGUAGCUCGGUGGACAGAGCGCGGACAGCGUUGCCUAUUUCACACAGCGUUUGAGAUUAGCGGGUUUUCCAGCGAAGUCUACUCAGCGAAAUAUCAGCGCAUCCGAGGCCAGCGGUUCGAAUCCGCUCGGGGAUA